ACAAAGUAAAAAAAUUCAGGCGGUCUAUCAUGCAAGUCGAACGAACUCUGGUAUUGAUUGGUGCUUGCAUCAUGAUUUACAUUUGAGUGAGUGGCGAACUGGUGAGUAACACGUGGGAAACCUGCCCAGAAGCGGGGGAUAACACCUGGAAACAGAUGCUAAUACCGCAUAACAACUUGGACCGCAUGGUCCGAGUUUGAAAGAUGGCUUCGGCUAUCACUUUUGGAUGGUCCCGCGGCGUAUUAGCUAGAUGGUGGGGUAACGGCUCACCAUGGCAAUGAUACGUAGCCGACCUGAGAGGGUAAUCGGCCACAUUGGGACUGAGACACGGCCCAAACUCCUACGGGAGGCAGCAGUAGGGAAUCUUCCACAAUGGACGAAAGUCUGAUGGAGCAACGCCGCGUGAGUGAAGAAGGGUUUCGGCUCGUAAAACUCUGUUGUUAAAGAAGAACAUAUCUGAGAGUAACUGUUCAGGUAUUGACGGUAUUUAACCAGAAAGCCACGGCUAACUACGUGCCAGCAGCCGCGGUAAUACGUAGGUGGCAAGCGUUGUCCGGAUUUAUUGGGCGUAAAGCGAGCGCAGGCGGUUUUUUAAGUCUGAUGUGAAAGCCUUCGGCUCAACCGAAGAAGUGCAUCGGAAACUGGGAAACUUGAGUGCAGAAGAGGACAGUGGAACUCCAUGUGUAGCGGUGAAAUGCGUAGAUAUAUGGAAGAACACCAGUGGCGAAGGCGGCUGUCUGGUCUGUAACUGACGCUGAGGCUCGAAAGUAUGGGUAGCAAACAGGAUUAGAUACCCUGGUAGUCCAUACCGUAAACGAUGAAUGCUAAGUGUUGGGAGGGUUUCCGCCCUUCAGUGCUGCAGCUAACGCAUUAAGCAUUCCGCCUGGGGAGUACGGCCGCAAGUGCUCGAAAAGCGGAGGGACUGAC
This 927-nucleotide ribosomal RNA is filed under the name Lactiplantibacillus plantarum. Its description in RNAcentral is "bacterial SSU rRNA". It matches the Rfam family "Bacterial small subunit ribosomal RNA", at positions 1 to 914 of the family's 1533-position model. The record is from RNAcentral. Lineage: Bacteria; Bacillati; Bacillota; Bacilli; Lactobacillales; Lactobacillaceae.